UCGAGAAUCUUCGGCAAUGGGCGCAAGCCUGACCGAGCGACGCCGCGUGUGGGAUGAAGGCCUUCGGGUUGUAAACCACUGUCAGAGGGGAUGAAAUGCAGGUGGGUUCUCCCAUCUGUUUGACAUAGCCUCAGAGGAAGGACGGGCUAAGUUCGUGCCAGCAGCCGCGGUAAGACGAACCGUCCAAACGUUAUUCGGAAUUACUGGGCUUAAAGGGUGCGUAGGCGGCGCGGAAAGUUGGGUGUGAAAUCCCUCGGCUCAACCGAGGAACUGCGCCCAAUACUACCGUGCUUGAGGGAGAUAGAGGUGAGCGGAACUUAGGGUGGAGCGGUGAAAUGCGUUGAUAUCCUAAGGAACACCUGUGGCGAAGGCGGCCACCUGGUUGGAUACUGACGCUGAGACGCGAAAGCGUGGGGAGCAAACAGGAUUAGAUACCCCCGUAGUCCCUGAGCGGGCUGGCAAGGCGCAU
RNAcentral lists this ribosomal RNA (469 nucleotides) under uncultured bacterium. RNAcentral describes it as "bacterial SSU rRNA". It matches the Rfam family "Bacterial small subunit ribosomal RNA", at positions 355 to 825 of the family's 1533-position model. The record is from RNAcentral.